GGCAAGAAAAUGCUGAGCUAGGGAUUUUACAUUCUUAGCUCAAGGUCCUUCCGUAUAAGGAAUCUGAACUCUUCUAUGAAGAGGACCCUGAAAGAUACCUUAGUCUGAAAUCCUGGGAUACAUGUCCAUUUGGAAACCACUCUGUGUUAGUCAGCUUUUCACUGUGACCAAAAUACCUAAAAGGAACAACUCAGAGGAGGAAGCUUGUGGUUUCCGAGGUGGCAGUCCCUGGUAGGCCAGCUCCAUUGCUUUGGGCCUGAGGUGAAAGGAAAUGGCAGAGGAAAGUUGUUCAGCUCACAGCAGCCAGGAGAAAGAUGAAGGGGGGAGGACAGAGAAGAGGAAGAAGGCCAGGGAUGAGAUAUAUUUCCCAAGGGCACCCUAUAAUCCAUUCACAUUAACCCAUCCAAAGAAUUAUCCACCAAUAAGGUCAGAGUCCUCAUACUCCAAUCAUGUCCUAAAAGCCCCACCUGUGGACAUUGCUGGAUUGCCUUCAGCACAUGAGCUUUUGAGAGACAGUCCGGAUCCAAAUUCUAAUACCACCUCACCUCACUAGUAUGAGAAUAAAAGAGAUAAUGAAGAAAAAGGAGAGGGGAGGAGAGCAGUCAGCUAAGGCAGACCCUGAGGCACCCAACACUCAGGUGGAUUCGAAGGCACCC
Molecule: long non-coding RNA, 656 nt
Filed under: Marmota monax (woodchuck)
Lineage: Eukaryota; Metazoa; Chordata; Mammalia; Rodentia; Sciuridae
Source: RNAcentral